AGUGGGAUAGCUGGGUCAAAUGGUGGUUUCAUUAGCAGUUUUCUGAGGAAUAUUCAUACUGCUUUCCAUAGUGUUUGCACCACUUUGUAGUCCCAAGAGCAAU
This 103-nucleotide microRNA precursor is filed under the name Marmota monax (woodchuck). Lineage: Eukaryota; Metazoa; Chordata; Mammalia; Rodentia; Sciuridae. The record is from RNAcentral.